This 497-nucleotide ribosomal RNA is filed under the name uncultured bacterium. RNAcentral describes it as "partial 16S ribosomal RNA". It matches the Rfam family "Bacterial small subunit ribosomal RNA", at positions 28 to 507 of the family's 1533-position model. The record is from RNAcentral.
GAUGAACGCUGGCGGCGUGCCUAAUACAUGCAAGUCGAGCGAACGGACGAGAAGCUUGCUUCUCUGAUGUUAGCGGCGGACGGGUGAGUAACACGUGGAUAACCUACCUAUAAGACUGGGAUAACUUCGGGAAACCGGAGCUAAUACCGGAUAAUAUUUUGAACCGCAUGGUUCAAAAGUGAAAGACGGUCUUGCUGUCACUUAUAGAUGGAUCCGCGCUGCAUUAGCUAGUUGGUAAGGUAACGGCUUACCAAGGCAACGAUGCAUAGCCGACCUGAGAGGGUGAUCGGCCACACUGGAACUGAGACACAGUCCAGACUCCUACGGGAGGCAGCAGUAGGGAAUCUUCCGCAAUGGGCGAAAGCCUGGCGGAGCAACGCCGCGUGAGUGAUAGAGGUCUUCGGAUCGUAAAACUCUGUUAUUAGGGGAGAACAUAUGUGUAAGUAACUGUGCACAUCUUGACGGUACCUAAUCAGAAAGCCACGGCUAACUACGUG